GAGUUUGAUUCUGGCUCAGAUUGAACGCUGGCGGCAUGCUUUACACAUGCAAGUCGGACGGCAGCACGGGUGCUUGCACCUGGUGGCGAGUGGCGAACGGGUGAGUAAUGCAUUGGAACGUACCGAGUAGUGGGGGAUAACUGUCCGAAAGGAUAGCUAAUACCGCAUACGACCUCAGGGUGAAAGCAGGGGACCUUCGGGCCUUGCGCUAUUUGAGCGGCCAAUGUCUGAUUAGCUAGUUGGUGGGGUAAAGGCCUACCAAGGCGACGAUCAGUAGCGGGUCUGAGAGGAUGAUCCGCCACACUGGGACUGAGACACGGCCCAGACUCCUACGGGAGGCAGCAGUGGGGAAUUUUGGACAAUGGGCGCAAGCCUGAUCCAGCCAUGCCGCGUGUCUGAAGAAGGCCUUCGGGUUGUAAAGGACUUUUGUACGGGAAGAAAAGGCAGAUGCUAAUAUCAUUUGCUGA
Molecule: ribosomal RNA, 467 nt
Filed under: Conchiformibius sp. canine oral taxon 289
Lineage: Bacteria; Pseudomonadati; Pseudomonadota; Betaproteobacteria; Neisseriales; Neisseriaceae
Description: bacterial SSU rRNA
Rfam family: Bacterial small subunit ribosomal RNA
Source: RNAcentral